Molecule: non-coding RNA, 3811 nt
Organism: Jatropha curcas
Lineage: Eukaryota; Viridiplantae; Streptophyta; Magnoliopsida; Malpighiales; Euphorbiaceae
Source: RefSeq, a predicted model, not a curated record
AUUUCAUUUCUCAAUCUGCAAUUGCAAUUUUUUAGUAAGAUUGACGAAGACAAACACAAACUACCAAAACAAGAAACUACUACGAACUAAUAAAUGAAGAAGACUUCAAAUUCCAAGUCAAUCGAAUUCUUUUUUCAGAUAGAGAGAAAUGGAAUUGGAAUGGGAGAGGGACUCUACCAGGAUAGGAUCGAGCGAGGAUGAGGAUGUCGAGGAUUUGAACGAUGUGCCUUUUAAGGAGAAGACGGACAAUGCCGCCGAUUGGAGAGAGACGAUCAACAAGGUGGUUCCUGCGGUGGUUGUGCUACGUACCACUGCCUGUCGCGCCUUUGACACCGAACUUCCUUCAUCCGGCUAUGCCACAGGAUUCGUUGUCGAUAAGCUACGUGGCAUCAUCCUCACCAAUCGCCAUGUCGUCAAGCCUGGCCCUGUAGUUGCACAAGCGAUAUUUGUAAACCAUGAAGAAAUUCCUGUAUAUCCUAUAUACAGAGAUCCAGUCCAUGAUUUCGGCUUCUAUCAUUAUGAUCCUGGUGCAAUACAAUUUCUGAACUAUGAGGAGAUUCCUCUUGCUCCUGAGGCUGCUUGUGUUGGACUCGAUAUCCGAGUUGUUGGUAAUGAUAGCUGUGAGAAGGUAUCCAUUUUGGCUGGUACCAUUGCUCGUUUGGAUCGGGAUGCUCCUACAUAUAGAAAGGAUGGUUAUAACGACUUCAAUACAUUUUACAUUCAAGCAGCAUCCGGAACUAAGGGUGGUUCUAGCGGUUCACCAGUUAUUGAUCGACAAGGUAGGGCAGUGGCCCUAAAUGCUGGGGGCAGGGUAUCAACUUCAUCAGCAUUCUUUUUACCUUUAGUGCGAGUUGUUAGGGCAUUGAGACUUAUUCAAAACAGCAGAGAUUCUAAUACAGGUAAAGGGGAGGCAGCUCUAAUACCACGUGGUACACUUCAGGUGACAUUUCACUAUAAAGGAUUUGAUGAAGUUCGGCGUCUUGGUCUUCAACGUGAAACAGAGCAGAUGGUACGCUGUGCUUCUCUACCAGGAGAAACUGGAAUGCUUGUUGUUCACUCUGUGGUUCCAGGUGGUCCGGCUCAUCUGCAGUUACAGCCAGGGGAUGUGCUAGUACGUGUGAAUGGGGAAAUAACCACUCAAUUUUUGAAACUGGAGACAUUGCUUGAUGAUAAUGUCGAUCAAAAGAUUGAAAUACAAAUUGAAAGGGGUGGCACAUCCUUGACCAUAAACAUAGUGGUUCAAAAUUUACACUCUAUAACUCCUAAUCACUUCUUGGAAGUUAGUGGAGCAGUGAUUCAUCCAUUGUCUUAUCAACAGGCCAGAAACUUCCGCUUCCAUUGUGGUCUUGUAUAUGUUUCAAAUCCUGGAUAUAUGCUAUCUAGAGCUGGUGUUCCUCGCCAUGCCAUCAUUAAGAAGUUUUCUGAUGCAGAGAUAUCACGACUUGAAGAGCUAAUCUCAGUUUUGCCAAACCUGUCUCCGGGUGCUCAAGUGCCAAUAGAGUAUAUAACCCACAAGGAUCGUCAUAGAAGCAAGUUUGCGCUGGUCACAACUGAUUGCCAUCAAUGGUAUGAUACUCCAAAGAUAUACACUCGUGAUGAUAGUUUCGGUUUGUGGAUAGCAAGACCUGCUAUUCAGCCUGAAGCUCUGUUGCUUUCAUCUUGUAUUGCCAAUCCCGGACAAGGUUUAAAAGAAGAAACAUUUGCAUUUAGUUGUGAAUCCAAUCUUGUGGAAGACAUGCCUCAAAAUAACAACUUGGAGUUGACUGACAAUAUGGGAACUUGUCAUGAUCAUGCUUCUAAGGAAGUUGGUUCCAGAGAUGAAUGUGAUGUUGCAAUAAAUACACAAGUACUAGGAGAUUUGUCCAUAAAUAACAUUGUUGUUCCCAACAGUUCCUCACAUGAAGCUGGAGAAAUUAAGUUGGAGAAUCCAGUAAUCACGGAAAAUGCAAAUUCAAAUCACCCUGAGUUUGCAACAGAAGCUGAAGCUAAGGCUCCAUCUCCAGACCGUGUGAUUGAACCUGCUCUUGUACUGGUUGAGGUUAAUGUGCCUUCAUCGUGUUUGCUUGAUGGUGUCAGUUCACAAAAUUUUUUUGGAACUGGUGUCAUUGUGCAUCACUCUCAAGGAAUGGGAUUGGUUGCAGUUGACCAGAACACAGUUGCAAUAUCUGCAUCUGAUGUGAUGUUAUCCUUUGCUGCAUUUCCUAUUGAAAUUCCGGGACAGGUGGUUUUUCUUCAUCCCGUUUACAAUUUCGCUCUUGUUGCCUAUAACCCGUCUGCUCUAGGAGCUGUGGGCGCUUCAAUGGUUUGUGCUGCGGAACUUCUUCCUGAGCCUCCUUUAUGUAGUGGAGAUCCAGUAUAUCUUGUGGGGUUGAGAAAUCUACAAGCAAUAUCAAGGAAAUCUACUGUAACAAAUGCAUGUCUCUCAUUGCAUGUUCCCAAAGCUGAUCCUCCUUGUAACAGAGCAAUCAAUAUGGAGGUUAUUGAGCUUGAUUCUGAUUUUGGUUAUAUGUUUACGGGAGUUCUAAGCAAUAAGCGUGGAAAAGUUCAAGCUCUGUGGGCAAGCUUUUCAGCUAAGAAAAAAUCUGGUAGCAGUGCAUCAAAAGAUCCUCAAUUUGUUAAAGGGAUUCCAAUCUAUAUGAUCAGCCAAGUAGUUGACAAGAUCACAUCUGGUGCAAAUGGACCAUCUGUUCUAAUAAAUGGUGUCAAAAGGCCGAUGCCACUUGUUAGGAUUUUAGAGGUUGAAUUUGUUACUAGAUUGCUUUCAAAGGCUCGGAGUUUUGGUUUGAGUGAUGAUUGGAUUCAAGCUUUGAUCAAGAAAGAUCCAAUAAGGCGACAAGUAUUACGUGUUAAAGGGUGUUUGGCUGGAUCUAAAGCUGAAAAUGUAUUAAAAGAAGGUGACAUGGUGCUGGCAGUGAAUAAAGAGCCUGUCACUUGUUUCCGUGAUAUAGAAAAUGCUUGCAAAGCAUUAGAGAACAAUGCUGACAAGGGUGGGAAACUUAACAUGACCAUAUUUCAACGAGGACGUGCAGUUGAUAUUGUUGUAGAAACAGAUAUUAGAGAUGGAAAUGGCACGACACGUAUGAUAAAUUGGUGUGGUUGUAUUGUUCAAUAUCCUCAUCUUGCAGUGCGUGCGCUUGGGUUUCUUCCUGAGGAAGGGCAUGGUGUAUAUGUUACAAAGUAUUAUCGUGGAAGUCCUGCAGACAGAUAUGGUCUAUGUGGUCUUCGAUGGAUAGUUGAAGUCAAUGGAAAACCGACUCCUGAUUUGGAUGCCUUUGCUAAUGUGACAAAGGAAUUAGGAAGUGAGGAAUUUGUUCGAAUAAGAACUAUCAACUUGGAUGGAAAGCCACAAGUGCUAACAUUGAAGCAAGACUUGCAUUAUUGGCCCACGUGGGAACUGAGAUUUGAUCCGGACACUGCAAUCUGGCGUAGAGAGACAAUCAAGGCAUUGCAGUAAAGUGCUUGUGUAUCCUUUGAAGAGUGAGAUUGUGAUUGGACCAUCAAAAGUCUAUUUCAUAUUGUCAAAUUGUACAUAACAAACAUAUAUGGCUUCUGCCUCAACAUAUAGCCUCUAAUUUUAAUUUUGGCCGCUCACUAAAUUUACUCCUAGUGCAUUAUAUCUUAGCCAUGGUAAUGUCAAGCUCUCAAAAGCAUCACAAUGUACAUGAAUAAUUCUAAUUGACAACAUUACUCCUGGUGCGAAUGAUUUUAAUACAGAGUAGUGUAAUUUUCCAAUGGAAUGCAAAUGACUGAUUGUAAAAUAACCGCGAGUUUGACUAUAAUUUUAUAUUUAAUUACAAAAGAUUUGUCUUUA